RNAcentral lists this ribosomal RNA (688 nucleotides) under Salmonella enterica. RNAcentral describes it as "partial 23S ribosomal RNA". It matches the Rfam family "Bacterial large subunit ribosomal RNA", at positions 2261 to 2925 of the family's 2925-position model. Lineage: Bacteria; Pseudomonadati; Pseudomonadota; Gammaproteobacteria; Enterobacterales; Enterobacteriaceae. RNAcentral also lists the same sequence under 1 other name. The record is from RNAcentral.
GUGGGUAGUUUGACUGGGGCGGUCUCCUCCUAAAGAGUAACGGAGGAGCACGAAGGUUGGCUAAUCCUGGUCGGACAUCAGGAGGUUAGUGCAAUGGCAUAAGCCAGCUUGACUGCGAGCGUGACGGCGCGAGCAGGUGCGAAAGCAGGUCAUAGUGAUCCGGUGGUUCUGAAUGGAAGGGCCAUCGCUCAACGGAUAAAAGGUACUCCGGGGAUAACAGGCUGAUACCGCCCAAGAGUUCAUAUCGACGGCGGUGUUUGGCACCUCGAUGUCGGCUCAUCACAUCCUGGGGCUGAAGUAGGUCCCAAGGGUAUGGCUGUUCGCCAUUUAAAGUGGUACGCGAGCUGGGUUUAGAACGUCGUGAGACAGUUCGGUCCCUAUCUGCCGUGGGCGCUGGAGAACUGAGGGGGGCUGCUCCUAGUACGAGAGGACCGGAGUGGACGCAUCACUGGUGUUCGGGUUGUCAUGCCAAUGGCACUGCCCGGUAGCUAAAUGCGGAAGAGAUAAGUGCUGAAAGCAUCUAAGCACGAAACUUGCCCCGAGAUGAGUUCUCCCUGAGACUUAAAGUCUCCUGAAGGAACGUUGAAGACGACGACGUUGAUAGGCCGGGUGUGUAAGCGCAGCGAUGCGUUGAGCUAACCGGUACUAAUGAACCGUGAGGCUUAACCUUACAACGCCGAAGGUGUUU